Molecule: ribosomal RNA, 115 nt
Filed under: Candidatus Pacearchaeota archaeon
Lineage: Archaea; Nanobdellati
Source: RNAcentral
GAAGACAGUCAUAAUGGGUUGGAAACACCUGUUCCCUUUCCGAACACAGAAGUUAAGCUUCCUAUGUUGAUGGCGGUAGUGCCCGAAAAGGUGCAAAAUCAUCAAGCUGUCUUUC